Molecule: ribosomal RNA, 440 nt
Filed under: uncultured bacterium
Lineage: Bacteria
Description: bacterial SSU rRNA
Rfam family: Bacterial small subunit ribosomal RNA
Source: RNAcentral
CUACGGGAGGCAGCAGUGGGGAAUCUUGGACAAUGGGGGCAACCCUGAUCCAGCGACGCCGCGUGAGUGAUGACGGCCCUAGGGUUGUAAAGCUCUUUCGCCAGGGACGAUAAUGACGGUACCUGGAUAAGAAGCCCCGGCUAACUUCGUGCCAGCAGCCGCGGUAAUACGAAGGGGGCUAGCGUUGCUCGGAAUCACUGGGCGUAAAGCGCACGUAGGCGGCUUUCUAAGUCAGGGGUGAAAUCCUGGAGCUCAACUCCAGAACUGCCCUUGAUACUGGAAAGCUUGAGUUCGGGAGAGGUGAGUGGAACUGCGAGUGUAGAGGUGAAAUUCGUAGAUAUUCGCAAGAACACCAGUGGCGAAGGCGGCUCACUGGCCCGAUACUGACGCUGAGGUGCGAAAGCGUGGGGAGCAAACAGGAUUAGAUACCCCGGUAAUCC